GUGAGGAAUCUUGCACAAUGGGCGAAAGCCUGAUGCAGCGACGCCGCGUGAGGGACGAAGGCCUUCGGGUUGUAAAGCUCUUUAGCCGAUGAUUAUAAUGACUGUAGUCGGAAAAUAAGCCCCGGCUAACUUCGUGCCAGCAGCCGCGGUAAUACGAAGGGGGCGAGCGUUAUUCGGAAUCACUGGGCGUAAAGCGUGCGUAGGCGGCUUUGCAAGUUGGGAGUGAAAGCCCAGGGCUCAACCCUGGAAUUGCUCUCAAAACUGCAAGGCUCGAAUUCGGGAGAGGAUAGCGGAAUUGUCAGUGUAGCAGUGAAAUGCGUAGAUAUUGACAGGAACACCAGUGGCGUAAGCGGCUAUCUGGACCGAUAUUGACGCUGAGGCACGAAAGCGUGGGGAUCAAACAGGAUUAGAUACCCGGGUAGUCC
RNAcentral lists this ribosomal RNA (425 nucleotides) under uncultured bacterium. RNAcentral's name for it is "partial 16S ribosomal RNA". It matches the Rfam family "Bacterial small subunit ribosomal RNA", at positions 354 to 796 of the family's 1533-position model. The record is from RNAcentral.